GCCGUUGGGGAUCUUGAAUCCUUAGUGGCGCAGCUAACGCACUAAGUUGACCGCCUGGGGAGUACGGCCGCAAGGUUAAAACUCAAAUGAAUUGACGGGGGCCCGCACAAGCGGUGGAGCAUGUGGUUUAAUUCGACGCAACGCGAAGAACCUUACCUGGCCUUGACAUCCUGCGAACUUUCUAGAGAUAGAUUGGUGCCUUCGGGAACGCAGUGACAGGUGCUGCAUGGCCGUCGUCAGCUCGUGUCGUGAGAUGUUGGGUUAAGUCCCGUAACGAGCGCAACCCCUAUCCCUAGUUGCUAGCAGUUCGGCUGAGAACUCUAGGGAGACUGCCGGUGACAAACCGGAGGAAGGUGGGGAUGACGUCAGGUCAUCAUGGCCCUUACGGCCAGGGCUACACACGUGCUACAAUGGCGCGCACAGAGGGCUGCAAACUCGCGAGGGUAAGCCAAUCUCUUAAAACGCGUCGUAGUCCGGAUCGCAGUCUGCAACUCGACUGCGUGAAGUCGGAAUCGCUAGUAAUCGCGAAUCAGAAUGUCGCGGUGAAUACGUUCCCGGGCCUUGUACACACCGCCCGUCACACCAUGGGAGUGGAUUGCACCAGAAGUGGUUAGUCUAAC
Molecule: ribosomal RNA, 620 nt
Filed under: Marinobacter sp. GX5A2-1
Lineage: Bacteria; Pseudomonadati; Pseudomonadota; Gammaproteobacteria; Pseudomonadales; Marinobacteraceae
Description: bacterial SSU rRNA
Rfam family: Bacterial small subunit ribosomal RNA
Source: RNAcentral